AGCGUACACGGUGGAUGCCCUGGCAGUCAGAGGCGAUGAAGGACGUGCUAAUCUGCGAAAAGCGCCGGCGAGGUGAUAUGAACCUUUGACCCGGCGAUGUCCGAAUGGGGAAACCCAGUGCAAUUCGUUGCACUAUCGUUAACUGAAUACAUAGGUUAACGAGGCGAACCGGGGGAACUGAAACAUCUAAGUACCCCGAGGAAAAGAAAUCAACCGAGAUUCCCCCAGUAGCGGCGAGCGAACGGGGAGCAGCCCAGAGUCUGAAUCAGCUUGUGUGUUAGUGGAAGCGUCUGGAAAGUCGCACGGUACAGGGUGACAGUCCCGUACACGAAAGCACACAGGCUGUGAACUCGAAGAGUAGGGCGGGACACGUGGUAUCCUGUCUGAAUAUGGGGGGACCAUCCUCCAAGGCUAAAUACUCCUGACUGACCGAUAGUGAACCAGUACCGUGAGGGAAAGGCGAAAAGAACCCCGGCGAGGGGAGUGAAAAAGAACCUGAAACCGUGUACGUACAAGCAGUGGGAGCACCUUCGUGGUGUGACUGCGUACCUUUUGUAUAAUGGGUCAGCGACUUAUAUUCUGUAGCAAGGUUAACCGUAUAGGGGAGCCGAAGGGAAACCGAGUCUUAACUGGGCGUUAAGUUGCAGGGUAUAGACCCGAAACCCGGUGAUCUAGCCAUGGGCAGGUUGAAGGUUGGGUAACACUAACUGGAGGACCGAACCGACUAAUGUUGAAAAAUUAGCGGAUGACUUGUGGCUGGGGGUGAAAGGCCAAUCAAACCGGGAGAUAGCUGGUUCUCCCCGAAAGCUAUUUAGGUAGCGCCUCGUGAACUCAUCUUCGGGGGUAGAGCACUGUUUCGGCUAGGGGGCCAUCCCGGCUUACCAACCCGAUGCAAACUACGAAUACCGAAGAAUGUUAUCACGGGAGACACACGGCGGGUGCUAACGUCCGUCGUGAAGAGGGAAACAACCCAGACCGCCAGCUAAGGUCCCAAAGUCAUGGUUAAGUGGGAAACGAUGUGGGAAGGCACAGACAGCCAGGAUGUUGGCUUAGAAGCAGCCAUCAUUUAAAGAAAGCGUAAUAGCUCACUGGUCGAGUCGGCCUGCGCGGAAGAUGUAACGGGGCUAAACCAUGCACCGAAGCUGCGGCAGCGACGCGUAUGCGUUGUUGGGUAGGGGAGCGUUCUGUAAGCCGUUGAAGGUGUGCUGUGAGGCAUGCUGGAGGUAUCAGAAGUGCGAAUGCUGACAUAAGUAACGAUAAAGCGGGUGAAAAGCCCGCUCGCCGGAAGACCAAGGGUUCCUGUCCAACGUUAAUCGGGGCAGGGUGAGUCGACCCCUAAGGCGAGGCCGAAAGGCGUAGUCGAUGGGAAACAGGUUAAUAUUCCUGUACUUGGUGUUACUGCGAAGGGGGGACGGAGAAGGCUAUGUUAGCCGGGCGACGGUUGUCCCGGUUUAAGCAUGUAGGCGGAGGUUCCAGGUAAAUCCGGUACCUUUUAACGCUGAGGUGUGAUGACGAGGCACUACGGUGCUGAAGUAACAAAUGCCCUGCUUCCAGGAAAAGCCUCUAAGCAUCAGGUAACAUCAAAUCGUACCCCAAACCGACACAGGUGGUCAGGUAGAGAAUACCAAGGCGCUUGAGAGAACUCGGGUGAAGGAACUAGGCAAAAUGGUGCCGUAACUUCGGGAGAAGGCACGCUGAUAUGUAGGUGAAGCCCCUGCGGGUGGAGCUGAAAUCAGUCGAAGAUACCAGCUGGCUGCAACUGUUUAUUAAAAACACAGCACUGUGCAAACACGAAAGUGGACGUAUACGGUGUGACGCCUGCCCGGUGCCGGAAGGUUAAUUGAUGGGGUUAGCGGCAACGCGAAGCUCUUGAUCGAAGCCCCGGUAAACGGCGGCCGUAACUAUAACGGUCCUAAGGUAGCGAAAUUCCUUGUCGGGUAAGUUCCGACCUGCACGAAUGGCGUAAUGAUGGCCAGGCUGUCUCCACCCGAGACUCAGUGAAAUUGAACUCGCUGUGAAGAUGCAGUGUACCCGCGGCAAGACGGAAAGACCCCGUGAACCUUUACUAUAGCUUGACACUGAACACUGGUCCUUGAUGUGUAGGAUAGGUGGGAGGCUUUGAAGCGUGGACGCCAGUCUGCGUGGAGCCGUCCUUGAAAUACCACCCUUUAAUGGCUGGUGUUCUAACGUAGACCCGUAAUCCGGGUUGCGGACAGUGUCUGGUGGGUAGUUUGACUGGGGCGGUCUCCUCCCAAAGAGUAACGGAGGAGCACGAAGGUUAGCUAAUCCUGGUCGGACAUCAGGAGGUUAGUGCAAUGGCAUAAGCUAGCUUGACUGCGAGAGUGACGGCUCGAGCAGGUGCGAAAGCAGGUCAUAGUGAUCCGGUGGUUCUGAAUGGAAGGGCCAUCGCUCAACGGAUAAAAGGUACUCCGGGGAUAACAGGCUGAUACCGCCCAAGAGUUCAUAUCGACGGCGGUGUUUGGCACCUCGAUGUCGGCUCAUCACAUCCUGGGGCUGAAGUAGGUCCCAAGGGUAUGGCUGUUCGCCAUUUAAAGUGGUACGCGAGCUGGGUUUAGAACGUCGUGAGACAGUUCGGUCCCUAUCUGCCGUGGGCGCUGGAGAAUUGAGGGGGGCUGCUCCUAGUACGAGAGGACCGGAGUGGACGCAUCACUGGUGUUCGGGUUGUCAUGCCAAUGGCACUGCCCGGUAGCUAAAUGCGGAAAAGAUAAGUGCUGAAAGCAUCUAAGCACGAAACUUGCCCCGAGAUGAGUUCU
Molecule: ribosomal RNA, 2774 nt
Filed under: human gut metagenome
Description: bacterial LSU rRNA
Rfam family: Bacterial large subunit ribosomal RNA
Source: RNAcentral